CAGCGGAAGGCCUAAACUCUCACAGAGCUCUGAGCUUCGACCACUUUCGUCUCCUUCUCUCUUUCAGUCUCUCUCGUGCUUCUUGUUGUUAGCAGUGUGAACAUAAAAUGAACAACUUGGUGAUCAAACGCUUUCUGGACGCCUCAUUCUUUCGCUCCUUCUCCAGACCCACUGCUUCUCUUACUUUCUUGCUUUACCCGAGACGUAACGUAGUUUCAGUGCCAUCAGUUGAGGAGGAUGGUGAAACAGUCAAUUUUCCUAGGGACAGGGAGGACACUGGAUUUUCAUGUGGUCUUAAUUGGGCUUUAGCUGGAAAAGGUGUAAUUGUGAAGGAUAAAGCAUUUAGAAACUUGAAGACUUCUGAGCUACGGCAGAAAGGUGCAACUGUUGCAGAAUCUUUGUCAGGACUUCCCGUUCUUGUUAGAGGAAAUGCCCUUGGAGGAGCUUCUGAAAUUUCCAAGCCACAAUUUAGUAAACUGCUGAAACAUGCAUGUUUUUACCCUGUCACAACACAUAUAUCAUCCGUCUCAGAUAUUUAUGUUCUUGAUGGUGCUAUUGCUUCAUCAUCAAAAUGCAGUGCAAAAGUUCGCAUAAUAAGUGAUAGUCCUUCUGCCAUAUUUAGUCUAUCCAAUGUACUAUGGAAAGUUCCCUCUCGUGCCAUUUCCCAUGAUCCUUGUCCUUUGACAGUUUAUGUUGCUUCGUCCAUAAGCCAAGGUGUGGUGGAUGCUGUUCGUCUGGGAGCUCAAGCUAAUGAGAAUGUUAUAGCUGCUGAUAUUGAUUGUGCUUCACUCAUUUUAUGUGGUAAAGCUUUUUCUGAUGCUAGUGCAACUAAAGAGGCACUAGCUACUUUAUCUGAACCUGUCAUAUCUGCACGAGGAGGCAUUCCUUUACCUGCAAGGCUUCUAGUUUCUGAUGACUCUGUGAUUCUACUAUUUGCACCUGAGGAUAUCAUCCAGAGCUGCGCAUAUCAGUUGGUCUCUGCGGAUUCAGGGGUUGUUCUUUCGUCACAGGAUGUUGCCCCAUAUUUUCCAAUUAAAAAUUCUUCAGGCCCUAGUCUUUUCAAAUUCCCAAUAGCUGUUGUCCUUGUAACCUCUGACAGAGCAGUUCUGGGACUAUUCCAUCAAUAUCAAAGCUCUCACCUGGCCAAGCAGCUUAUCACUUCCUGGCUGGCUAUCAUAAUGGGAAAUUCAUGCCUGCAUACAACAAGGGCCCUUCAUCUGUAGAUGCCUUAGAACUUGCGAAGGCUUUUCUAUCCAAGUUGAAGGACAACCAAACCACAUCCUUCCUAAUUAAUGUCAAUGAAGGUGAAAAGAGUGUUACAGGCAGGGGUAGUUCUUGACUGGGUCACACAAGCUCUUUCAUCUUUCUUUUCUGAUCCAAGCCUGACCUGGCUGUGUAGCUUUUAUUGUCAUGUGGCCUGAUCCUGACUUGAAAGAUUGCCAGGUUACACAUGGUUGGAUCUGAAAUUUUAUCCAUGGGCAAGGUUUUCCUGACAUUGGUGCAAUCAGCUUUGUCAAAGAACAUUCCAUCAUUUCAUCCCAAAGGUGGAGAUCUUAAAGGAAAGUACAAAAGCUUUUUAUCCUGUAAAUUUCAAGAAAUUCCAGAGGAGUUGUCAUUUUGAGAGUUGAA
Hevea brasiliensis (rubber tree) is the source of this 1629-nucleotide RNA transcript. RefSeq lists it as uncharacterized. The transcript is spliced from 12 exons. NCBI's taxonomy places the organism in Eukaryota, Viridiplantae, Streptophyta, Magnoliopsida, Malpighiales, Euphorbiaceae. The record is from RefSeq and is a predicted model, not a curated record.